RNAcentral lists this ribosomal RNA (668 nucleotides) under uncultured fungus. RNAcentral describes it as "eukaryotic LSU rRNA". It matches the Rfam family "Eukaryotic large subunit ribosomal RNA", at positions 24 to 664 of the family's 3401-position model. The record is from RNAcentral. Lineage: Eukaryota; Fungi.
CCCGCUGAACUUAAGCAUAUCAAUAAGCGGAGGAAAAGAAACUAACAAGGAUUCCCCUAGUAACUGCGAGUGAAGCGGGAAAAGCUCAAAUUUAAAAUCUGGUGGUCUUUGGCCAUCCGAGUUGUAAUUUAGAGAAGCGUCUUCCGCGCUGGACCAUGCACAAGUCUCCUGGAAUGGAGCGUCAUAGAGGGUGAGAAUCCCGUCUUUGGCAUGGACACACCAGGGCUUCUGUGAUGCGCUCUCGAAGAGUCGAGUUGUUUGGGAAUGCAGCUCAAAAUGGGUGGUGAACUCCAUCUAAAGCUAAAUAUUGGCGAGAGACCGAUAGCGAACAAGUACCGUGAGGGAAAGAUGAAAAGAACUUUGGAAAGAGAGUUAAACAGUACGUGAAAUUGUUGAAAGGGAAACGCUUGAAGUCAGUCGCGUCGGCUUGGGGGAUCAACCCAGCAUUCAUUUGCUGGGCGUACUUCCCUAGUCGAUGGGUCAGCAUCAAUUUUGAUCGUUGGAUAAAGGUCUGGGGAAUGUGGCAUCUUCGGAUGUGUUAUAGCCCUUGGUCGGAUACAACGGUUGGGAUUGAGGAACUCAGCACGCCGCAAGGCCGGGUCUUCGGACCACGUAACGUGCUUAGGAUGCUGGCAUAAUGGCUUUAAUCGACCCGUCUUGAAACACGG